ACUCUGACCCUUAGGCUGUAUUCACAGUAGACCCUGGUUUCACUUUUCAUGGUUUUAGUUAUCUAUAGACAACCACCACCUGAAAAUAGGAAAAAAAAUUAUGUAUAGGAUUUGGUACUACCUGAGGUUUCAGGCAUCCACUGGGGGUCUUGGAAUGUAUCCCCUAUGGUUAAGGGAGAAUGACUACAAACCAACGAACUGCUACUUAGCAAGAGGAAGGCAUCAGGGCAGUAGCUCCUCUGGGAAUAGUAAAGCACUUCUUUCUCCUGCUGCCCUGUGAAGAAGGACGUGUUUGCAUCCCCUUCCACCAUGAUUGUGAGUUUCCUGAGGCCUUCCCAGCCAUGUGGAACUGCCAGCUGCCCUUUCCCUUCAGCCAUGAGUGGCAGCAGCCCGAGGCCCUCACCACAUGCCUAAUCUUGAAGACUCCAGCCAGCAGAACUGUGAGCUAAGUGAAUCUAUUUUCUUUAUCAAUUACCCAGCCUCAAGUAUUCCUUUGCAGUAACACAAAAUGGACCAAGACAACAUCUAACUACCAAUUAUUAAUAAAAUACAGUAGCUAGAGAAACAAGUUAAACAAUACCUUGAGGAAAAAUCAACCUCAGAAUGUGGAACAUUCUGCAAGACUUAUGAUAUGGUUUCUUCCACCAGUCAUGGCAUUAAAAAAAGUGUGUGUGGGUGUGUGUGUGCUCUUUAGAAUGAAUGAAACUUUAAUGACAUAACAGCUGACUGCAAUGUGUGGACCAUAUUUAGAUCCUAAUUUACACAAACCAAAUGUGAAAAAGGUCUAGUGAUGAUCAGGAAAUUUGAACCUAGAGAGUACAGGGAGAUCACAGAGUAUGAGAUGACUUUAGGAGAAAGUCCUUAUCCAUUACAAGUCUAUUCUGAAGUAUUUAAAAGUGAAAUUUCAAGAAAUUUGAAAUUUUCUUUAAUGUUUUCAAAAAAAAGUAGGGGAUUCAAUGAAACAAGAUGGGAAAAUGUUGAUCAUUGUUGAAACUGAGUUACAGGUACAUAUAGUUUCCUUCCAGUCUCUUGAGAAUAUUUCAAUAUUUCCACAAUUAAAAAGUUAUUUAAAAGCCAACAUAUUAACCAUUAAUCUUUUUAAAGUGCAUAAAUAUCAUUACUAUAACAUAAUUUAUCUCAGUAUAAAAUGGAAAUAAUCUAAAUGUUUUACAGUAGCAAAAACUUAUUUAAAAAUAUGAUAAACUGGCUGGGUGUGGUGGCUCAUGCCUGUAAUCCCAGCAUUUUGGGAGGCUGAGGCAGGCGAAUCACCUGAGGUCAGGAGUUCAAGACCAGCUUGGCCAACAUGGUGAAACCCUGUCUCUACUAAAAAUACAAAAAUUAGCUGGACCUGGUGGCGGGUUCCUGUAAUCCCAGCUACUUGGGAGACUGAGGCAGGAGAAUCGCUUGAACUCGGGAGGCGGAGGUUGCAGUGGGCCGAGAUUGUGUCAUUGCACUCCAGCCUGGGCAACAAGAAAGAAACUCCAUCAUAGAAAACAAAAACAAAAAACCCAAAAAACAAAAAAAUAAAACUAUGAUUAAACCAAUCUGAUGGAAAUUAUGCAGCCAUUAAAAUGACAGAAAGGAGGAGGACAACAAAGAAAAAGCUUACAGAGUUGUUAUUUUUAGAAUAAAGACUAAAUCUACAUUAGAAUCAUACUCUUUAAAAUAUGUAUGAAUAUAAACAAAGAGUAGAAGAGUAAAUAAGAAAAACAGUAAGUUGAUAUGUCUUUAAAGUGUGGGUUUUCUUACUGGUACUAUGAUAUUGUUUCUGAAACAAAAUGAAUGCUGACAUAAAACAACAAAAAAUUGAUCUAGAUCUACAUAUGCUGAAAUGUAGCAAGACAGCGUUACAUUUGCUUUGGAAAUAGCAUUGGCUUUGGAGUCAGACACUCUUGGCAAGUUAUUUAAACAAUCGUACAGUCAGUUUCUUCUUUCUCCAUCUCAACAACUGAUAUAGCCACCCUUCAGGAAUGGUACAAGGAUUAGAGAUGUAAGUCCUUAGAGAUGUGAUUGAUGUGGUAACAGUAAGCGGGUGAUAGGACAACCAUCUUGGCAUCACAAUAUUCGGCACAUAGUAAACCCUCAAUAAACAGUACUUAUUACUAUUAUCAUAUUAAAGGUGGGAGAGUUCUGAGAAAAUAGAAAACAGAGAUGUGAGCUGAUGGUCAAAUUCCUGCAGACUUUUAUGGCAAUAUAGCUUUCACACACACACAAAAUGAAGAUAGGGAAAAGUAUAAUGAGGAAUUCAAAUCUUAUCAAGGCCAGUUGGAAGUACGGGUUGGCUGGAGAGGGGCUAAGACUUGUAUGAGGGACAUGCAGGGAUCACAGGCAGGCAGUGAGGAGGUAAAUAAAACCAACCUGUAGGAAAAACUGAGUUCAAACUACUCUGAAGCUUCAAGGCAAAACCUACAGGAUCAGAGGAAGAGGGAGAUAAGCAUGAAAGGAGAAAAGGAUUUAGGGUACAAGGACUGUUUGGGUACCUACAUAUGUGGCUGAGGGGUUGGGGCUUUUUGGCAGUGAGAGGCAAUCCCUACUUGGAGCUACGAUAGAUGAUACAGUUUCAGAGCUUAAAUGAACUGAAAUUCAUGUAAGAUGAUCUCAUCCUGUCUCCCCAUUCUACAAGAUGAGAAAAUAAACUUCAGAAAGGGGAGGGCCCUGGGUACCACGGCAAGGUUGUAUGGCACAGCUAUGCCUAGAAUUCUGGCUUACCCUGAAACCAGUGCUCUUGUGCCUCGUUAUGCUGCCUCCAAGGUGGAUGUCCCAUUAUCAUCACCAUGUCAAUUAUUUUUACCCACAUUUAUUAAACAAACGAAGCUCUCUGUGUCUUAAAGCAUAAAGUAUAAGCACUUAUUCUUUUCACCAAUAUCUUUCAUAUCAGACGCCCCUUACUGACUUCAAAUUAUUUUGUUGCAUGUAACAAAAGAGAAUGCAAUGAACAUUUGUUCUGCAAAUGUUCUAUCAGCACCUACUAUAUGUCAGGCACAUAAAAACAAAUGGCAUAGACACUGUUGUCAAGAAGCCUGCAAUACAGUGAAGAAUAUUAUGCACUUUGUAAUAUUCAAUGUGACAUGGAAUUAAAGAGAAUGGAGCUCAGGCUGGGUGCGGUGGCUCACUCCAGUAGUCCCAGCAUUUUGGGAGGCUGAGAUGGGCAGAUCACUUGAGCCCAGGAGUUCGAGACCAGCCUGGGUAACACGGCAAGACCCGAUCUCCACAGAAAAUAUAAAAAUUAGCAUGCACCUGUAGUCCCAGCUACUCAAGAGGCUGAGGUGGGAGGAUUGCUUGAGCCUAGGAGGUUGAGGCUGCAAUAAACCAAGAUGGCACCACUGCACUCCAGCCUGGGUAACAUAGUAAGACUUUGUCUUUAAAAAAAAAAAAAAAAAAAAAAAAAAAAACCCAGCUCAUUGGACUUAAAGGGGAGAGAAGGAAAAAAAAAAAAAAACAACAACAACAACAACAAAAAACUUCACUGAGAGAGAAUGCUGGAGCCGACCCUGAGGAAGAGUAGUUAGUUGACCAGUAGACAGCAGGACAAGAAGGUAGCCCGUUCCAAUAAUAAGAGCCUGGAGCAAAAGCUUCAUGAAAGCUGGUGAGGACUGGAACUGUGAGAAUUGCCAGAAAAUACAGCAAGCAUAAUAGUGUGGAAGUUGGGAGUGGUUUGUGAAGAGAAAAAUCCUAGUCAGGCAAGCUGGCAGAAGAGUCCAAAACAAAGGAAAAACUAAGCUCUUUUAAGUGGUAAGAAAAUGUUUUUUAAAAGGGGGAGAGAAGAAAUUCAUUUCUUGUCUGUGAGCUCUAACUAUAAUCAGGUGAUUAAAAAUGAGUCAUCACUGACUGAAGCAUAAGAAGCCUCCAGGAACAGAACAAAUUCUGGUCUCGUGCAGAUUCCAACAGCUGCUACGAAACCUAUAUUUAGGGGUGUUUGUCCUGGGGUGAGCAUACAGAUUUUGGCUUCUUGGCAAAAAUUCCUUUUGUUCCCUUUUUUCUAGAAUCAUGUCUUUUUCCCACUGGCUUUCCCCACUCUCUUGCCGUAGAGAACAGUUGUAUUUAAAUCUGAAAUUUCAGUUGAAAAAUACGUGGUCUUUAUGGUGUGAUCACUCUGGUUCUGUGUGGUCUCCAACAAAUGAUCCUUUAAAAUCAUCCAAAGAUGAGGCACAGAUGAAUAGUCCCCAAGAAGCAGAUCCUCCUUCACUAAGGAACAACCCUACAGGUAUCAAUAGUAUGAACGUAUUAGCACAAGAGAGAACUACUGAUAUGUCUACAACUCCAACUCUACUCUGAAGAACAUUUUAUGAGAGCUGCAACAUACCUUGUGUGCCCCACAGGAAAGUCAAGCAAAGUCUCUUGAGAAAAUGGGACUCUCAGAAGGAAAAAUGAGCAGGAAACUAACACUUCUGAGGGCCUACAUAGUGCUGGGCACCACUCUAAUUACCUUACUAAUAAUAGUAAUAUUUUUCUUUCCUUCUUUCCUUUUUUCCUUCUUUCAUUCAGUUUCUUUCCAUUGUCUCAUAAUAGUCUACAUACAUUAUGUCAUUUCUGUGAAGGAUGAAUUUGGAGAUUAAUGGUUACAACAAGGAGACUACCAGUGCUAGAAUCAGAUAAAACCUGUUUCUUCAAACUCCCAGAUAUAUGUGCUUUAUAAAAAGUUCUACUAUUUUUCAGAUAGCAGAGCAUUUAAAGAUACACACUGACAUGAACAUUUGGGUUUUUUUGGGGUUUUUUGUUUUUUUUUUCAGACAGAGUUUCACUCUUCUUGCCCAGGCUGGAGUGGAAUGGCGCAAUCUUGGCUCACCGCAACCUCCGCCGCCUCCUGGGUUCAAGCGAUUCUCCUGCCUCAGCCUCUCAAGUAGCUGGGAUUACAGGCAUGCAUCACCACACUCUGCUAAUUUUGUAUUUUUAGGAGAGACGGGGUUUCUCCAUGUUGGUCAGGCUGGUCUCGAACUGCCGACCUCAGAUGAUCCACCCGCCUCAGCUCCCAAAGUGCUGGGAUUACAGGUAUGAGCCACCGUGCCCACCCCACAAUUGUAUUUCUUAAAAUACAUAGUCAGCAUAAAGAAUCCUAAAUAUUCUGUGAGUUUUGCCUUGUACUUGCACACCCUUCUGUUCAAAAUUAGUAUACUUUCUGUAAUUGGGUGCUGGGAUGAGAAUGAAUCCAGGAAAGAGUUAAGAAAGUGUUAGGAAGACUCACCCACCUGGUAAACUCUCUUGAUGUGAUCUGGCAGUCCUGACCACUGAUUUACAUUCUUCUCUGCUGCAUGCUUGCCUGUGCCUAUUAGACUAUUAAAAUAUUAAUAGGGCCUUGGUAUCUCUCAUUAUUAAUUUUGGCAAGGAACGAGGACAUGCCGAGCCAUAGUAUUGAUAGAUUUGUAGAAUAUGUUAAUCAUAGCACUCAUUAUUUAGCCAAGUUACUAUUUUUUUCAGAGGGUUUUACUCCACUGAUCAUUUUUGAUAUUUAACAAUUUUUCAUCUCCAGCUAAGCACACUUGUUCCUUAGAAAUCUACUUAUGUAUGUAUUUUUAUAAUGUUUUUAUAACAAUAAUUUACUGAACAAUUGUCAUGCCCCAUCACAUAAUGACAAAAUUUUCUGAUAAAUAUCUAGAGAGUUUAGCUAAGAAAUAAGUAGAUUGUUAAAGGUGGCAUUAAAAUAAUAUAUUCCUGCUUUUGUUUUUUUUAACUUAAGAAAAUUUUUUCAGGUCUAUGGUAGAGCCAGCAAGGCCCAAGGCCAAAUUCUCAGGCCACCAAUCUCUGAGGACACUUACAGCAUUUUUUUUUUUCCAGUUUCCUAAGAGUUAUUUAUUCUUUGUCAUAAAUAGGUGAUAAUGUUUAGCAAAAAAAGAAAAAAUAUAUUUUUCAAUGGAUAUAGUCAUAAGAAUCAUCUCUUUUACUCUAUUAAUGAAGUAUGUUGACAGAUUUUCUGAUGUUACAUUCUUGGAAUGAAAUCUACCUGAUUACAAUGCAUUUUUAAAGAAAGCACACUUUUAGAUUCAUUAAGCUAAUAUUUUGUUUAAGAUUUUUAAAAAUCUAUUUAUAAUUGAAAUGGGCCUAAUUUUUCUUUUAACUAGUCUUACUCUGAUUUCAGAAUGAAUUGGGAAUCUUCACUCUUUUUCCAUUUUCUGAACAAUGUGUAAUAUACACACACAUAUGCACACACAUACUCACCCCACCCCCUCACCGACCACCCCCCAACACACAACCCACAUUGUUCAGUUUGGUAGAAAUGACCUAUAAAACCCUCAGGCUUUUUUGUUUGUUUCCGUUUUUUGGAUGAAGAGAGUUUUUAAGUAUCAUUUCAGUUUCUUUUUUUUUUUUGACAGUUUUUAAUUGUGCCUUUAUUCAACUUAGUUCAUUAAAAAUGUACUUGUUUCAAAGAUCCUAUAAAUAAAGUGACCACUCACUCAAGUGGGAUAUAGAUCACCCCUCAGCAUGUUAUUUUUUUUUUAAAAAAGCAGUAUUUCUUAUAAGGAAUCUUACUGAUCACACAGUAGUUACAAUAAUGUCAGAUAUGAUGUAUACAGUCUAAACGAGAAAGGCCAGUUAAGAAUUUACAUAAUGUAAAAAUACACAUAUUAAAAGUUAGCCAAGUGGACAGACGCAUGCAACAGGGGGAGAGCAGGUGACAGGAAGUCCUUUAACAAUCAGUAGAGGGCCCAGAUGCAAGGAAUCUGGUUUUCCCCAUUACGAUAAACAGCUUUCACUAACGUAUACAGGUAUUCCAUACACAUCUAAACACACAAGGGUCACACAUUUCAGUUUCUUUGACAUUUCCUACUCUGUUUCUUCUUGAUUUCAAAAUUGGUAGUUUUGUUUUUAUUUUCCCCACAAAAAUGGCUAAUAGUAAAAAAGACUGGUACUAUCAAGUGUUGGUGAGGAUGUGGAGCAACAAAACUCUCACACAUUGCUGGUAGGAAUUUAAUUAUUAUGACUACAUAGGAACAUUCUUUGAUACUAUCUAUGAAUAUUAAACAUACAUGCACCUGAUCUCACAGCAAUUUUACUCCUGGGUAUAUUCCCAAGAUAAAUAAGUACUUAUGUCCACCAAAAGAUAGACAAAAAUGGCCAUACAGGUAUUAUUCAUAAUACUCCCAAAAUGGAAACAAUUGACAGUCUCUCAACAGUAGAAAAAAAUUGUGGUAUAUUCAUACAAUAGAAUACCACAAACGAUGAGAUAGAAUGAACUACUGCUACAUGCAAUAUGAAUGAAUCUCACCAACAUAAUGUUUUGUGAAAGAAGUAAGGCUCAACAAACAACAGCCAAGCCAAGGGCCAAAUCAGGAAUGCAAUCUCAUUUACAAUUGCCACAUAAAGAAUAAAAUAUCUAGGAAUAUAGCUAAUCAAGGAGGUAAAGAUCUCCACAAUGGGAAUUACAAAACACUGCUCAAAGGAAUCAGAGAUGACACAAACAAAUGGAAAAACAUCUCAUGCUCGUGGGUAGGAAGAGUUAAUACCAUGAAAAUGGUCCUACUGCCCAAAGCAAUUUACUGAUUCAAUGUUAUUCCUAUUAAACUACCAAUGACAUUCUUCACAGAACUAGAAAAAACUAUUUUAAAAUUCAUUUGGAAGCAAAAAAUAGCCCAAAUAGCCAAGGCAAUGCUAAGCAAAGGAGCAAAGCUGGAGACAAUAUGUUACCUGACUUCAAACUAUACUACAGGACUGCAAUAACCAAAACAGCAUGGUACUGGUACAGGAACAGACACAUAGACCAAUGGAACAGAUGAGAGAGCCCAGAAAUAAGGCCACACACCCAGGACCAUCUGAUCUUUGACAAAGCUGACAAAAACAAGCAAUGGGGAAAGGAGUUCCUACUCAAUAAAUGGUUCUGGGAUCACUGGCUAGCCAUGUGCAGAAGAUUGAAACUGGACCCCUUUUUUAGACUGUAUACAAAAAUCAUCACAAGAUGGAUUAAAGACUUAAAUGUAAAACCCCAAACCAUAAAAACCCUGGAAGACAACCUAGGCAAUAUCAUCCUGGACAUAGGAAUGUGGAAAUAUUUUAUUAAAAAGCCAUUAAAAACAAUCACAACCAAAGCAAAAAUUUACAAAUGGGAUCUAAUUAAACUUAAGAGUUUUGGCCGGGCAUGGUGGCUCACUCCUGCAAUCCCAGCACUUUGGGAGGCCAAAGUGGGUGGAUCACCGGAGGUCAGGAGUUCAAGUCAACUUGCUGAAACCCCGUCUCUACUAAAAAUACAAAAAAAAUUAGCUGGGCAUGGUGGCAGGCACCAGUAAUCCCAGCUACCCGGGAGGCCGAGGCAGGAGAAUCACUUGAACCCGGGAGGCUGAGGUUGCAGUGAGCCGAGAUCACACCAUUGUACUCCAGCCUGGGUGACAGAGUGAGAAUCCAUCUCAAAAAAAAAAAAAAAAAAAAAAGAGUUUCUACACAGCAAAAGAAACUAUCAACACAGUAAACAGACACCCUACAGAAUGGGAAAAAAUAUUUACAAACUAUGUAUCUGACAAAGGUCUAAUAUCCAGCAUCUAUAAGGAACUUAAAUGAACUUACAAGAAAAACAACUCGAUUAAAAAGUGGGAAAAGAACAUGAACAGAUACUUUUCUAAAGAAGACAUACAUGUGGCCAACAAGCAUAUGCAAAACAACUCAAUCACUGAUCAUUAGAGUAAUACAAAUUAAAACCACAAUGAGAUACCAUCUCACAGCAGUCACAGUGGCUAUUACUAAAGUCAAAAAAUAACAGAUGCUGGCAAGGUUGUAGAGAAAAAGGAAUACUUAUACACUGUUGAUGGGAGUGUAAAUUAGUUCAACCAUUGUGGAAAGCAGCUUGACAAUUCCUCAAAAAACUAAAAGCAGAACUACAAUUCAACCCAGCAAUCCAAUUACUGGGUAUAUACUCAGAGGAAUAUAAAUCAUUCCACCAUAAAGACACAUGCAUGCAAAAGUUCACUACAGCACUAUUCACAAUAGCAAAGACAUGGAAUCAACCUAAAUGCCCUUCAAUGACAGACUGGAUAAAGAAAAUUUGGUACAUAUACACCACAGACUACUAUGCAGCCAUAAAAAAGAACAAGAUCAUGUCUUUUGCGGGAACAUGGAUGAUGGAGCUGGAAGCCAUUUUUCUUAGCAAACUCAUGCAGGAACAGAAAACCAAACACAUUUUUUCACUUAUAAGCGGAAGCUAAAUGAUGAGAACUCAUGAAUACAAAGAAGGGUACAGCAGACACUGGGGCUUACUUGAGAGUAAAGGGUGGGAGGAGGGAGGGGAGCAGAAAAAAAUAACAAUUGGGUACUAGGCUUAGUACCUGGAUGACAAAAUAAUCUGUACAACCAACCCCCUUGACAUGAGAUUACCUAUAUAACAAAUCUGCCCAUGUACCCACAAACCUAAAAUAAAAAAGAAAAGAAGGCGCAAAUGAAUACAUACAUAUGGUAUGGUAUCAUUUAUAUGGAGUUCAGAACAGGCAAAAUUAAUCUAUCAUGAAAGAGGUCAGAACAGUGGGAGGGGCACCAAGGUGGAGGAGACAUUAGAAAGUCUAUUGGAGUGCUAAGAAUGUUUUACAUCUUGAUCUUGGUUGUGGUAUGUAGUUACAUACAUACAUAUGUUUAUUCAUUGGGCUGAUAUUUAAGAAUAUAUGCUUGUUGUAUGAACGUUAUACCUUAAUUUUAAAGAAAGCAAGUAUUAGCCACAUAGGAAUUGAUAAAUUUGACUACAUAAAGAUAAAUUAUAACCCUAGGACUAACAACAUUUAACUCUUAAGCUUUGGUAUUUUUUGUUUGUUUGUUCAUUCAUUUUCCCCCUGUAUCCUCUGUUCAAUGUUAGCUGCCACAGUGAGACAAACAGAAAGUAUAAGGACACUUUUUGCUUGCAUCUGUAGUGGAAACCUUAGCAGCAGACAGUAACUGCUCCAGUGGCACAAUGCAGUUCUAGAAGAGUUAAAAUAAGAAACCCUACCUGCUUAAUCUGCCAGAAAACACAUGAGAGGAGCAAUCAACUCUGGGAAGAGUUGCUCUGAAUGAGGUGCCCUGAUCAUAUUUACCAGUGGGUCAGAUUCCUCUAAGAUGUAACAGCUGUGUAAAGGAACACAGGCUACAACCUUUGCCAGAAAGACUGUCGCCAAAGUCAUCUGACCAUCAGAUCUGGAGGUGUGAGACAGAAGACAAAUGUGAGGACAACCGGGAACAGGAGGAAUAAGCUACUGAAGUAAGAAGAUACCAGUCCUCGUCCCCUGACACACACAGAAAGUCACUGAUGGCAUUCAGAUACAAACAGAGCAAAGGGAUCAAUGGUCCACGGACCCUGCUCUUUCCCGGGGUGCUAUUCCAGUGGCCAGAGGAACCUCCCAUCACUUCAGACUUUUGUUUUAUUUGUUGUUGUCGUUAUUUUUGGUCUUCUAUCAUUGACUCAUAGCUCUCUCACACAUUUUAAUGUAUUCGCUGCAUCAGACCCAGAAAAACAUUUGCCUGGUGUGUGAAAGAGCCUCUGAUUACAGAAUGAACUUUGUCUCUCCAUAAUUUGAAGAAGUUAAGGAAGGUCCCCACCCAAAUGUUAUGUCCUAUUUUGAUGCUCAAAAUCUUAGUAAAAUCACAGUGCAAAGGAAAGAGCACUGACUUUGGCAUCACACAGAUGAAACUUGGCUCUGCUAUUCUCUUGUAUUAUUGUGGGUAUGGCAUCUCUGACAUGAGGAUAAUAAUCAUUCUUCAUAAGGCUGUCUUAAUGAGUAAAGAUAACACAUAUAAAGUCCUUGGCACAGUGCCUGACACACCGUAGAUAACAUUAUAAUAAUAACAAUAAUUAUUAUUACCUUUAUUGCUAAGCAUUGCUGUUUCCCUUGGUUCUCUCUUAAAAUGCCACUGUUGGCCGGGUGCGGUGGCUCACACCUGUAAUCCCAGCACUUUGGGAGGCAGAGGCUGGCGGAUCACGAGGUCAGGAGAUCGAGACCAUCCUGGCUAACACGGUGAAACCCCGUCUCUACUAAAAUUACAAAAAAUUAUCCGGGCGUGGUGGCGGGUGCCUGUAGUCCCAGCUACUUGGGAGGCUGAGGCGGGAGAAUGGCGUGAAUCCAGGAGGUGGAGCUUGCAGUGAGCUGAGAUCGGCCUGGGCGACAGAGCGAGACUCUGUCUCCAAAAAAAAAAAAAAAAAAAAAAAAAAAAAUGCCACUAUUGAUGGUGUGGGUAACAUAUUAAGUCCCUACUGUCUCUGUGUGAAUGAAGGUUUCUUUCCUCUCUGUGGCCAGGGCGGUAUUGAUAGCACAAGCCCCUUUGGCAGGAAGAAUACUUCAAAGGAGGCAGUGGAUUGCCACAAAGACACUUGACUUAAUUCACAAUUUUGUCUAAGGUUAUCCACCCCAAAGUAGUUAACAUUCCCCAUUCAGUAAUUUUGCCCCUGCCAAGUGACAUACUGAAACAAAAAUCUUAAAAAAAAAAAAAAAAGAAAAACCUGUUUGUCCAAGUGUAAAAAACCUAUAAAAGCACUGCAAAUGAAGCAAACACUGUAUGCAGACUAUUAAAAAUGUGUCAUGAUUUUUAACUGUUUUCAAAUCUCUAACCACCCUGCCUACCUCCACCUGCCAAAAUACUGGAGGUGCCUCACAGAUCAUUUCAAGGCAUCUCCUGCCACCUCAUUUCUUGUCUGCAGAAAUGGAUAAGGGAUUGUUUGGGUUUUGUAUCUCACGUGAAAGUUCAAGUCAUAUUUACUUGAUUUAAAAUUAUCUGCUUGUUCAUUUACAGAGGUGGGAAUGUUGGCAGGCUUCAAAGACGGAAACCAGAAAUAUCAGGUAAUAUACCUGUAUUAGUCUGUUUUCACACCGCUAUAAAGAGCUACCUGAGACUGGGUAAUUUAUGAAAGAAAGGUGUUUAAUUGACUCACAGUUCCACAGGCUUAACAGGAAGCAUAGCUAGGAGGCCUCGGGAAACUUACAAUCGUGGUGGAAGGCAAAGGGGAAGAAAGUACAUCUUACCAUGGCUGCAGGAAAGAGAGAGAGUGAGUAGGGAACUGCCACACACUUUUAAACCGUCAGAUCUCAUCAGAUCUUGUGAGAACUCUAUCACAAAACAGCAUUAGGGAGCUGACGCUAAACCAUUCAAAACCAUCCCCAUGAUGUAAUCACCUCCCACCAGGCCCCACUUUCAACAAGUGGGGAUUACAAUUCAACGUGGGAUUUGGGUGGGGACACAGAGCCAAACCAUAUCAAUACCUAUCAAACAGCUACAAGUUUAUACUCCCUGUGGCACAUUUUCUACAGAAACAUGGCAAGGCCUGGAAAUGUCUUUGGCUAUCAAAGUUAUACAAGCCCCCUGCAUAAAGUUAAUACAAGUUAAUUGACAAAUAUGUAUAGCAAAGACAUUGCAUAACACAGCUUCAUGAAUAUGCCACAAAUAAAACAAUUAAGCCACAUAAAUACUUUACUUAUAUUUUACAAUACACCCUGACAUUUACAAUACACCCUGACAUUAUGGAGAGACAAAGACACAAAUAUUUUAUUGACAGGGUUUCACAGAUCAUUGAUAAACUUACACUCCUUUCUCAUCCCAUGACAUCAGGUUUAAAUUCAACUCACUAAACAGUCAUGGUAAAUUUCAAGUUAAAGAGUAGAGUUUCUAGAAGUGACAUGGGGUAGAGGGGAAAGCUCUCCUUAUUACUCACUAAUAAUACAAGGUAUUUUGUCCAUAUACCAAUGCUGACUUGCUGAUCCAUUAAUCUGUAAAAAUUUCUUGAUUUCUAGAGACUCACUGAAACCCAAGGAUCUGGAUUAGAAAACACAUACAGCAUUCUUAAAAGUUAAAAGAAGUUGAGUAGCUAUUUGUUUAUAGACUAACUCAUCCAUCUAGAGAUUGAUCUCUUCCAAAUUCUCUGUAAUUCUGUUACUGUGUUAUUCAUGAAGAGCUGUGGCAUUGUGUUUCAGAAAUUACCAACCAGUCAGCACUGAUGGGUAUGUAUUUUUCUUGCUCACUCAGUGGCAAGAAACAUAUAUAAUAAAUUCUUAGGAACUUUAUCUCUUUCAGUUAGGGUCAAAAUAACUGCUGACUCAAUGACUUGCCACAAAAUUAUUCCUGGGUAGAAGGGAGAACCACCUUCUACAGAAAAGAAGUAUUUCAAUACUUCAGCAUUUCCAACAAGAAAGAGAGGUACCAAUGAGAACAAAAUAAGAAACUACGUUCUAUGACUGAGAAAUUGUUUCUAAAUAUUUUUCUACUAUUUUUAAUUUGUUUCCAAUGGAAAGAUAGCAACAGAUUAACUGCUCACAUGCCCAUUUGAUUUUUUUAAAAAAUUAAAUAAACUUAUUUUACUUUUAUGGUUGCAGAUAGGAAUUAUUAACCAUCUGUCUUUGUAUUAUUUAAACUUUAAACAAAUAAACAUUAUUGUACAACCAGAAAGCAGUUAUUCAUAGACUUGUACAUUUAUUCCCCAGUAAUUUUUCUUUGCUGUUUAAAAAGAGCCUAAAGCUAGCAUCAUUUAAAUUAUUUUUAAAAUUCAUUACCUACAAUACUAAGAAAAACAGAUGAUAAUACAGUAUGUCAUUGUAAAUGAAAAAGGCCUUGAAGAGUUUUUUUUAACUUACUAGAAGCUUCAAUUAUCUCCUUUUGAGGAAAUAGUUAAGAAGAAAAAAUGACAACCUCAAUCAACUCACACUGUUAAAAGAAAUGAGGGUGGCACCAACAACUACCAGUUGACAGUUCUGCUAGUGCUCUUACAUAGGCAAGGAUCUUCUCAUGUGAGAACAGCAUAUGGAUAAAUCAAGUAUUUUUUUUACUUCUCUACUUCUUCAAACACAGAAACAAGUACACCUCUAGAUUCAAACACUAGAUCAUAGAAAAUAAAUGGAAAAACAGUUUUUUGCCAUGUAGGGCAGAGAAUAGAGGAAAAAUUGGAGUAAACAGGUGGAAAGACAAGUCUUAAGAUAUCCAAAGAGUAUGUUUUGACCCCAAUUUAUUGAAAUUAGAGAAAUACCCUAAAGAACAGAAGUCAGAAUAAACCAGCCAAAAGAAAAUCUUUAUUGAAAACACUCUGAUAUGCACUCCAGCCCAGUUACAGACAUUAUCAUCUUGGCUAUAGCCAAAGCCCAGUGUGAUAGAUUGUGUCUAAGAUGGCUUCCAAUGACCUGAACCUUUUGAUAUUUAUGUCCUUGUACAACCCCCUCCUUUGAAUAUUGUCUGGACCUGGGAACUCACUUAAAAAUGACAGAUGUCACAAAAAUACUCUGGCUCCUGUCUUGCUUAUCCUUUCUUGCCCUCUUGCUUGCUUUAAUGGAAGUCAUGUGCCAGGUUAUAAACUCCCCUAUGGGGAGGCCUACGUGGCAAGAAAUUGACAAAGGCCAAUGGCCAGGGAGUAACUAAGGUCUUCAGUCUAGCAACCACAAGGAAGUGAAUCCUGCCAAAUAUCAGAUGAGUCACCUUGGAAGUGGAUCCUCCCUCAGGCCUUGCCAUCAGUUGGAUCAGCAGCCCCACUGAUAUCUCAAUUGCAUCCUUGUGAGAGAUCCAGAGCCAGAGGAUCUAGUUAAGCUGUAUCCAAAUUCCUGACUCAGGGAAGUUGUGAGGUUAAUAAAUGUUUGUUGCUUUAAGCUACAAAGUUCUGGAAUAAUUAGUUACACACAAAUAGAUAACUAAUACAGCCUGUUUUCCGAAGCCAUUGAAUCAAAGUAUUUUCUAUAAUGAGGUUCAAAUGUCCCCCUAAAUCUUGUACAGCAAUUCUACUGCUAAAUUCUCCACUGGCUUUAAAAAGCAUUAUUCCUUUAAGAAUUAUAGUGUCAUAAUAAUUCACAACCUCUUUCUGUAAAGUCUUUAAACUAUCUGUGUAUAAAAGAUUCUGGACUGUUUAGCAACACACAAAUAAUAUCUUAAAAUAACUCCAAUGUGGAAACUGAAUUCAACAGAGAUACAUAUUGUCUCUGGGACAGUUAUAGAAUGUACAGAAUAUGUCCAUGGGAACUAAGUUUAACAUUUAAAGAUUCCAAUCAUAAGAAAUCUGAUAUCUCACCCUGUCUCAAAAAAAACAAGAAAAAGAAAUCUGAUAUCUCACUAAAUGUACAGAUAUAGGAAAAAUAAAUGCGUUUUGAUAUGCAGAGAAUGUAGCUUAUUGUUGCUAAAAGAGUAAAACAAAAACACAGUAGGAGGACUUUUUUUAAAGAAUAAGUUGAGUUUUUAUUAAGGUUUAAUACAGAUAAGCCAAUAAAUUAUAAUAUUCAAUAGAUUUUUGCCAAAGAAUGUCCCAGUGUAACCAUCAUCUACAAUGAAAUAGAACAUUAUUAGCACCCAGAAGUCCUCCUCACUCCCCAACCAUGUCUAGCUUCUUUCAUUAAACAUUACGUUUGUGAGAUUCUUUCAUAUUGCAUGUAACAUUAGUUUGUUCAUACUCACUGAUAUAUAACAUUCCAUUAUAUGAAUAGAGCACAAACUAAUUAUUCAUUCUGCUACCAAUGAACAUUUGUGUUGUUUCUAAAUUUUGGCAUUAAAACUACUUUGACUAUGAACAUUUU
RNAcentral lists this long non-coding RNA (15416 nucleotides) under Homo sapiens (human). RNAcentral describes it as "non-protein coding lnc-IFT74-1:5". The record is from RNAcentral. Lineage: Eukaryota; Metazoa; Chordata; Mammalia; Primates; Hominidae.